Molecule: small RNA, 18 nt
Filed under: Arabidopsis thaliana (thale cress)
Lineage: Eukaryota; Viridiplantae; Streptophyta; Magnoliopsida; Brassicales; Brassicaceae
Description: ATSL174310
Source: RNAcentral
ACUUUCUUCUCCGUCUUU